Molecule: ribosomal RNA, 433 nt
Filed under: uncultured bacterium
Lineage: Bacteria
Description: partial 16S ribosomal RNA
Rfam family: Bacterial small subunit ribosomal RNA
Source: RNAcentral
AACGAACGCUGGCGGCAUGCCUAACACAUGCAAGUCGAGCGAGACCUCCGGGACUAGGGGCGCACGGGUGCGUAACGCGAGGGAACCGGCCCUUAGGUUCGGAAUAACUCCCCGAAAGGGGUGCUAAUGCCGGACAGUGGCUUCUGACCAAAGAUUUAUUGCCUUUGGAUGGGCCCGCGUUGGAUUCGCUAGUUGGUAGGGUAAAAGCCUCCCAAGGGGACGAUCCGUAGCUGGUUUGGGAGGAUGGUCAGCCACUCUGGGAUGGAGACACGGCCCAGACUCCUACGCGAGGCAGCAGUGGGGAAUGUUGGACAAUGGGCGAAAGCCUGAUCCAGCACUGCCGCGUGAGUGAUGAAGGCAUUAGGGUUGUAAAGCUCUUUUACCCGGGAUGAUAAUGACGGUACCGGGAGAAUAAGCCCCGGCUAACUCCGUG